RNAcentral lists this ribosomal RNA (465 nucleotides) under uncultured Weissella sp. RNAcentral's name for it is "bacterial SSU rRNA". It matches the Rfam family "Bacterial small subunit ribosomal RNA", at positions 338 to 795 of the family's 1533-position model. Lineage: Bacteria; Bacillati; Bacillota; Bacilli; Lactobacillales; Lactobacillaceae. The record is from RNAcentral.
CCUACGGGCGGCAGCAGUAGGGAAUCUUCCACAAUGGACGAAAGUCUGAUGGAGCAACGCCGCGUGGGUGAUGAAGGGUUUCGGCUCGUAAAACACUGAUGUAAGAGAAGAAUGACAUUGAGAGUAACUGUUCAGUGUGUGACGGUAUCUUACCAGAAAGGAACGGCUAAAUACGUGCCCGCAGCCGCGGUAAUACGUAUGUUCCAAACGUUAUCCGGAUUUAAUGGGCGUAAAGCGAGCGCAGACGGUUGAUGAAGUCCGAAGUGAAAACCUACUGCUCAACGGUGGGAGUGCUGAGGAAACUGGAUAACUUGAGUGCAGUAGAGGAGGGUGGAACUACAUGUGUAGCGGUGAAAUGCGCAGAUAUAUGGAAGAACGCCGGUGGCGAAGGCGGCUCUCUGGAGUGUACCUGACGUUGAGGCUCGAAAGUGUGGGUAGCAAACAGGAUUAGAUACCCGUGUAGUC